RNAcentral lists this small RNA (27 nucleotides) under Arabidopsis thaliana (thale cress). RNAcentral's name for it is "ATSL253980". The record is from RNAcentral. Lineage: Eukaryota; Viridiplantae; Streptophyta; Magnoliopsida; Brassicales; Brassicaceae.
AGCUUUUUACCAAUUCCGUCUCCGUCU